RNAcentral lists this ribosomal RNA (253 nucleotides) under uncultured bacterium. RNAcentral describes it as "partial 16S ribosomal RNA". It matches the Rfam family "Bacterial small subunit ribosomal RNA", at positions 524 to 776 of the family's 1533-position model. The record is from RNAcentral.
UACGAAGGAUUCGAGCGUUAUCCGGAUUUAUUGGGUUUAAAGGGUGCGUAGGUGGACUAAUAAGUCAGUGGUGAAAGCCCGCAGCUUAACUGCGGAACUGCCAUUGAUACUGUUAGUCUUGAGUACAGUUGAGGUGGGCGGAAUGUGUCAUGUAGCGGUGAAAUGCUUAGAUAUGACACAGAACACCGAUUGCGAAGGCAGCUCACUAAACUGUAACUGACGCUGAGGCACGAAAGCGUGGGGAUCAAACAGG